This 1729-nucleotide long non-coding RNA is filed under the name Mus musculus (house mouse). RNAcentral describes it as "predicted gene 11217". The record is from RNAcentral. Lineage: Eukaryota; Metazoa; Chordata; Mammalia; Rodentia; Muridae.
ACACAUCAUUCCAUAUAAGACCAUAGAAAACUCCAAUGAAGCAUCUUCUGGAGAUGACCUCACGUAUAACUCAUAGGAUGAAGUGAUGAAGAUAUGCUUGCCUGCACACAAGAAGGAGUACAUUCAGCAUCAUGAAGAGCAUUACCAGCAAUAUGAAGACUUAGUAAAGAAACCGACAUCCAACAGACAUGAAGAAUUCAGAUCCUGAAUUUGAUAUUUUCAGUGGAUGAUCUUGUAUCAAAAUGUUGUACAGAGCACUUUGUGUACAUGAGUAUGGAUUGGGCUCCUCCCUAAGAAGCAGUACAGAUGAAUCUGUCCAGCCAAGGAAACUACAACUCGCUGACAACAUUAGACACAUUGCCUGUUAGAGAGGACCAGGACAAAGACGCGUCAGAGGAAGUUCACCGUCUUUUGUUCUCUCAGUGCAAAAGUCACUAGCCAAGACCUCAUGCAUAUCAGAGAGUCAAGCAUCAGCUUCUCACAGGGGGCACAAUAGCUCGACAAUUUAUUUUCAUUCUCUCUUAAAAAUUCUUUCUCUUUACCAAUCUUUUAUUUUCUGAUGCGAAAGUAAAGGGUGCUGAAUAAUCCCUAAUAAGAACAACUAUAGCAUAAGGAUUCUGAGCAUAAAGAAUUGGAGAGCACAGGAAAGAGAUGGCCAACAAUGAGAGAUGUGUAUUUAAUUACGUGUAAAAAGAAAGAAAGAUGAGACACAAUUAAACCAACACAAGCUAAGCGUAACGCAUGAACAGACUUGUCUGAGUUAGGCAAAGAACACUCAAGUUCACAGACUGACCAGGAAAGAGUGCUGGCAUGAAUGCCACUCUGCUGCUGUAGCUAGAGAACUGCUAGUAAGAUCUCUACACUUUGAUAAGGGACAAAGAGAAACCAAGUAGUACAUAUACUUAAGUUAGAGUCACAGAGUCACUGAAUUGAAAUCACCUUAACACACACCCCUGUAUGUUUCUUAGACCCAUUGGUUCAAGUUUUGUUUUUUUUAAUUUCUGAAAAGAGUAUCACCUGUACCAUAUCAUCUUGGUAAAUAUCAUAUAACAUAUUGCGACACAAUGUGGUAUUUACUAAAAUGUUCGGUCCACAGUAAAAUUCCAACUUUAUUAGUAACCAUUUGUAGGAGGCAUGUAGGUCUCGACUUAUCAUAAGAAGUAACUAGUGAUUCAUCAGGAGACGAAAAUUACAAGGGACUGCAGUUUAGCCUGCAAGCAAAUAGAGAAAACGAUGAAUGUCUCAACAGAUGAAUAAACUCAGGUAGUCAAAUUCAGAGGUCCCCAUGCUCAAUUCUCGCCAAGUUAACAAUCAUGGAAAAGGCUGCUCCCUAAUUAGUCCACAGGCUUGGGAAAGGCAAUGAGUAUAGAGUUUUCUGUGCAUGCAUGAGGAUUCCAGGCAGAACCCAAGGACCCACAUCGUAGCUAGGUAUGGAAGUAUGUGUGGCCCUGAAACUGGGGGAAAAGAAAUAUGUGAAUCUCACAGUCCACCCUGCCUAAACAAGGUGAGCUCCAGAUUCAGUGGCACAUGCUCUUAAAAGUUGAGAUGGAAAACCUCAGGUUUACACACACACACACACACACACACACACACACACAGAGAGAGAGAGAGAGAGAGAGAGAGAGAGAGAGAGAGAGAGAGAGAGAGAGGCAAGCCUACUUAGUCUAUUUGAUACAAGUAUGCAAUAUGAUAAUAAAAAUAAACAAAAAUAAAAUGGGAAAAUUAUUUU